AUACGGAGGGAGCCAGCGUUGUCCGGAAUCACUGGGCGUAAAGGGCGUGUAGGCGGGCUGGCAAGUCAGAUGUGAAAUUCCACGGCUUAACCGUGGAGGGUCAUCUGAAACUGCCGGUCUUGAGUUCGGGAGAGGGUGGUGGAAUUCCCGGUGUAGCGGUGAAAUGCGUAGAUAUCGGGAAGAACACCGGUGGCGAAGGCGGCUUCCUGGACUGUCCCUGACGCUGAGGAACGAAAGCGCGGGUAGCAAACAGGAUUAGAAACCCUAGUAGUCC
This 274-nucleotide ribosomal RNA is filed under the name uncultured bacterium. RNAcentral's name for it is "partial 16S ribosomal RNA". It matches the Rfam family "Bacterial small subunit ribosomal RNA", at positions 523 to 796 of the family's 1533-position model. The record is from RNAcentral.